UGGGAAACUUGAGCAGGAACCUAAGGGAA
RNAcentral lists this non-coding RNA (29 nucleotides) under Mus musculus (house mouse). Lineage: Eukaryota; Metazoa; Chordata; Mammalia; Rodentia; Muridae. The record is from RNAcentral.